This 197-nucleotide non-coding RNA is filed under the name Scedosporium apiospermum. RNAcentral's name for it is "Microsporidia small subunit ribosomal RNA". It matches the Rfam family "Eukaryotic small subunit ribosomal RNA", at positions 303 to 470 of the family's 1831-position model. The record is from Rfam by way of RNAcentral. Lineage: Eukaryota; Fungi; Ascomycota; Sordariomycetes; Microascales; Microascaceae.
AAGAGCCCUGUAUCAGUAUUUAUUGUCACUACCUCCCCGUGUCGGGAUUGGGUAAUUUGCGCGCCUGCUGCCUUCCUUGGAUGUAGUAGCCGUUUCUCAGGCUCCUUCUCCGGGGAAGGAGCCUGAGAAACGGCUACUACAUCCAAGGAAGGCAGCAGGCGCGCAAAUUACCCAAUCCCGACACGGGGAGGUAGUGA